AAUAAAUUUGUUAUCGCUAUCAUAUUUGUCUAAAUCUGUAAUUUAAUUAGUUACUAAAAUUACAUGAUUUUUUAACGUGCAACAUAUUUUAAGAAUAAGAGUGCUGUGGAUGUCUAUAGUCGGUUUCUCAUGCAGAUGGCAGACCAGUAACUGAUAGUAAUAAAUGUUUCUGACAAAUUAAAUACUUUCUGAUUAGCCUAUAUCAUUGGAAAACGUUGCUAGGAAACAAUGUUUCUUGGCUUACACACGUAAAAAUUUCGCAGCUUGUCAACAAAAUGUGUUUGCACUGCUUGUUCCAAGUUAUUAACAAGUCUGGGACAUGUUGUUACCAUCUUACAACAAGAUUGAAAAAGGCCAACACUCAACAGACUCGCAACAAGUUGUUCCACGAAGUCUGACAUCGUCUGCACGUAACAACUUGUUAACAAGUUGAUGACAACAAGCUCGUAGCAACUUGUUACGAACACGUUUUAUUUUGGGGAGGCUAAUCAGUUCCAGCUAAGUUGGGAAUCAUGUAGUUAAGAUUUUCAGCCAAGUGCAAACACGGCCCGCAAAACAUGACUUAACUGUAACAGAGUACCAUAAUAGGAGCGGUGAAAAUGGAAAAUUGGGGCUCGGAAAUGCCAUUUCCUGCACUUUCCGGAACUGAGUUGAAUUGAAGAAUUUGGAUGAAAAAAAAAACGCUGCUGUCAACACCAGAGAUUUGUGGCUUAUGGACAACCUCGUUCCCAGGGCCUUUUUUGAAAAUAUGGAUUAAACAACUGUCAUAACAGAAAUUCGGGACCGACUUUUGAUGCAGUCUCAAUCAAAACUGGGACCGACUUUUUGUGAUUUUCGAGUUUGCAAGGGGCCGGUUGUUCAAAGCUGAUUGUUCAAAGCAUAUCCAUUUAUUUCAAAACUUCAGAAAAUAAAACUUGUAUUGAUUCAGACAAGAUUUAUGGAAAAAUAUAUCCAGGUUUACAACUGAAAUGUUGAUAACAUUGCUUUGACGAUUUUGUUAACCUGGGAUUAAAGAUGUGGUACAGUCCGUAUGUAAACAAAGGCUUUG
Molecule: non-coding RNA, 1048 nt
Organism: Paramuricea clavata
Lineage: Eukaryota; Metazoa; Cnidaria; Anthozoa; Malacalcyonacea; Plexauridae
Source: the annotation of a GenBank genome assembly